RNAcentral lists this ribosomal RNA (435 nucleotides) under uncultured bacterium. Its description in RNAcentral is "partial 16S ribosomal RNA". It matches the Rfam family "Bacterial small subunit ribosomal RNA", at positions 29 to 507 of the family's 1533-position model. The record is from RNAcentral.
AGCGAACGCUGGCGGCAUGCUUAACACAUGCAAGUCGCACGGAUCUUUCGGGAUCAGUGGCGGACGGGUGAGUAACGCGUAGGGAUCUAUCCAUGGGUGGGGGACAACUCCGGGAAACUGGAGCUAAUACCGCAUGAUACCUGAGGGUCAAAGGCGCAAGUCGCCUGUGGAGGAACCUGCGUUCGAUUAGCUAGUUGGUGGGGUAAAGGCCUACCAAGGCGAUGAUCGAUAGCUGGUUUGAGAGGAUGAUCAGCCACACUGGGACUGCGACACGGCCCAGACUCCUACGGGAAGCAGCAGUGGGGAAUAUUGGACAAUGGGCGAAAGCCUGAUCCAGCAAUGCCGCGUGUGUGAAGAAGGUCUUCGGAUUGUAAAGCACUUUCGACGGGGACGAUGAUGACGGUACCCGUAGAAGAAGCCCCGGCUAACUUCGUG